UAAUUGAUGAAAUCACUAUUAGGUGGGCUACAAACAACAGGCAAAAAAAGAGGCCUGGUAGAUUCCGAUUACCGGGCCUUGGGAAAUGGCUCUGGCAGAGCCGUGCGCUAAAAAUUGCCAUUGAGACGUAACAAAGUACAAUUUAAUACUAGCUUGCUAAACGCACUCUUACCAUACUAAUUAUCAAUUAUUUUACAUAUUAUUAACACAAUUUAUUUCUUAAUAUUCCAAUAUCGAGCUAUUUGAUUGA
This 250-nucleotide unclassified non-coding RNA is filed under the name Providencia stuartii ATCC 25827. Lineage: Bacteria; Pseudomonadati; Pseudomonadota; Gammaproteobacteria; Enterobacterales; Morganellaceae. The record is from RNAcentral.